Molecule: small nuclear RNA, 123 nt
Filed under: Octodon degus (degu)
Lineage: Eukaryota; Metazoa; Chordata; Mammalia; Rodentia; Octodontidae
Description: U4 spliceosomal RNA (ENSODEG00000025690.1)
Rfam family: U4 spliceosomal RNA
About the family: U4 small nuclear RNA (U4 snRNA) is a component of the major U2-dependent spliceosome. The structure of U4 snRNA from yeast and human has been reported. U4 snRNA presents a k-turn RNA motif in the 5p-SL related to recognition of Snu13 protein.
Source: Rfam by way of RNAcentral
AGCUUUGCUCGAUAGCAGUAUUGUAGCCAGUGAGGUUUAUCUGAGGCACAGUUAUUGCUAAUUGAAAACAUUCACCAUGUUCACCUUCCUGAGCCACAGAGGUAAUGAGUGACAAAGAGUUCA